AGUAAAAGUCGUAACAAGGUUUCCGUAGGUGAACCUGCGGAAGGAUCAUUAAUGAAUACUUGAGUCGCUUCGGCGCUCAAACCAUCAUUUCCAACUCUGUGCAUCAUUUUACGUCCGUGCCGCAGUUCAAUCUGCCACGGGCUCACCUUACAAACACUAGUCAAAGAAUGUAAAAAAAUACAAAACAAAUAAAACUUUCAACAACGGAUCUCUUGGCUCUCGCAUCGAUGAAGAACGCAGCGAAAUGUGAUAAGUAAUGUGAAUUGCAGAAUUCAGUGAAUCAUCGAAUCUUUGAACGCACCUUGCACUCCUUGGUAUUCCGAGGAGUAUGUCUGUUUGAGUGUCAUGAACUCAUCAACUGUUUGACUUUAUUGUUACUCAGCUUGGUUUCUGACGGUUGCUACUCGUAGCUCUGUCGUAAUACAUUAGCCGCCCUAGUUGAUCUCGGAUUGACUCAGUGUAAUAGACUAUUCGCUGAGGACGAGAUUGUAGGCCAGCUUCCAAACAUGCUAGUCAUCUUUGAAAUUAGACCUCAAAUCAGAUAGGAUUACCCGCUGAACUUAAGCAUAUCAAUAAGCGGAGGAA
Molecule: ribosomal RNA, 585 nt
Filed under: uncultured fungus
Lineage: Eukaryota; Fungi
Description: eukaryotic LSU rRNA
Rfam family: 5.8S ribosomal RNA (bases 193-346)
Source: RNAcentral